RNAcentral lists this ribosomal RNA (1174 nucleotides) under Candidatus Phytoplasma sacchari. RNAcentral's name for it is "bacterial SSU rRNA". It matches the Rfam family "Bacterial small subunit ribosomal RNA", at positions 188 to 1362 of the family's 1533-position model. The record is from RNAcentral. Lineage: Bacteria; Bacillati; Mycoplasmatota; Mollicutes; Acholeplasmatales; Acholeplasmataceae.
CAUUUUUUUAUUUUUAAAAGACCUUUUUCGGAAGGUAUGCUUAAAGAGGGGCUUGCGUCACAUUAGUUAGUUGGCAGGGUAAAGGCCUACCAAGACUAUGAUGUGUAGCUGGACUGAGAGGUUGAACAGCCACAUUGGGACUGAGACACGGCCCAAACUCCUACGGGAGGCAGCAGUAGGGAAUUUUCGGCAAUGGAGGAAACUCUGACCGAGCAACGCCGCGUGAACGAUGAAGUAUUUCGGUAUGUAAAGUUCUUUUAUUGAAGAAGAAAAAAUAGUGGAAAAACUAUCUUGACGAUAUUCAAUGAAUAAGCCCCGGCAAACUAUGUGCCAGCAGCCGCGGUAAUACAUAGGGGGCGAGCGUUAUCCGGAAUUAUUGGGCGUAAAGGGUGCGUAGGCGGUUUAAUAAGUCUAUAGUUUAAUUUCAGUGCUUAACACUGUCCUGCUAUAGAAACUAUUAGACUAGAGUGAGAUAGAGGCAAGUGGAAUUCCAUGUGUAGCGGUAAAAUGCGUAAAUAUAUGGAGGAACACCAGAGGCGUAGGCGGCUUGCUGGGUCUUUACUGACGCUGAGGCACGAAAGCGUGGGGAGCAAACAGGAUUAGAUACCCUGGUAGUCCACGCCGUAAACGAUGAGUACUAAGUGUCGGGAUUACUCGGUACUGAAGUUAACACAUUAAGUACUCCGCCUGAGUAGUACGUACGCAAGUAUGAAACUUAAAGGAAUUGACGGGACUCCGCACAAGCGGUGGAUCAUGUUGUUUAAUUCGAAGAUACACGAAAAACCUUACCAGGUCUUGACAUACUCUGCAAAGCUAUAGCAAUAUAGUGGAGGUUAUCAGAGAUACAGGUGGUGCAUGGUUGUCGUCAGCUCGUGUCGUGAGAUGUUAGGUUAAGUCCUAAAACGAGCGCAACCCUUGUCAUUAGUUGCCAGCAUGUCAUGAUGGGCACUUUAAUGAGACUGCCAAUGAAAAAUUGGAGGAAGGUGAGGAUCACGUCAAAUCAUCAUGCCCCUUAUGAUCUGGGCUACAAACGUGAUACAAUGGCUGUUACAAAGAGUAGCUGAAACGCAAGUUUAUAGCCAAUCUCAUAAAAGCAGUCUCAGUUCGGAUUGAAGUCUGCAACUCGACUUCAUGAAGUUGGAAUCGCUAGUAAUCGCGAAUCAGCAUGUCGCGG